This 2005-nucleotide long non-coding RNA is filed under the name Fragaria vesca (wild strawberry). RNAcentral's name for it is "long non-coding RNA (FVES_LNC005343)". Lineage: Eukaryota; Viridiplantae; Streptophyta; Magnoliopsida; Rosales; Rosaceae. The record is from RNAcentral.
AUUUUGAAAGAAUUAAAAUAAGGCAUGAAAUAAUACAUGCAAACCCUAAAACUCAUAUUAAGGAUGAAGAUGAUGUCGCUAUCCUACAUGAAGUCAGCCAUCUUGUUGCCUCAAUCUUUGUUUAGAUUUUCUAACCUAUUUUCUAACCUAAGUGUUUUGAUAUUUGGAUAAGUUUCACAUCAAGAUCUGAGUGAUUUAUAUUGAUGAGUUUGAUCAUCAUCUAGAAGCCAGAUAGAGAAAGAGCAAGGAAUUCGAAGGCAAGGGUGAUAUUAUGAUUUGGUACUAAAAUCUAAUAUAUUUGUUUUGGUUAUAAUUUAAGAUCUUCUGCUAAGGGAGAACCUUAGGCCGGUGAUACUUCAUUAUGCAUCAAUGGUGUCUUUGUAAAAGAAUACAUAAUUGGAAACGAGACUGUAAGCAUCUAAAAUGGAUGAUGAGAGGGAGGCAUUUUGAUUAAAAUUUUAUGUUUUCAUAAUCACUAUCUUUAAUUUAAUUUGAUGUAAAUACAUGGUGGAAAUUAAUGAAACAAAAGAACUCCAUGUCAGAUUCCACAUCAUUUGGUAUGCGUUUUUUGGUAUAAAACUUUGUGCUCUCUAGCAUUUUAUUAAAACAAUAAAGUUAAUAGAUGGUGUAUUAAGUAUAAGAUGUGUAUCUAGUAAUUAUGAAUGUGUUAAUAAAAUUUCUCUUGUGCCCCUUUUGUAACCAAAUAAUAAUAAUAAUAAUAAUAAUAAUAAUUUCAAUAAAUCAUAUUGUUUAUUUAAGUAUAAUUUAUUUACAACUAAAAAAAUCAUUAUUCACACUUAAAAACGUUUUUCUAAAUUCAAUAAAUUCACUGCCACAUGACAUUAAUUUCACAUUUGAAACGGGUGGAAACUGCUGCCCUGUCACAGUGACCUAAAGUGACUUAAAGUGACCCAGGUCAUUUCAAAAAUCUAACCAAACGGGUGAACUUGCUCUAAGAUCUUGAACCCUGUGACACAAGUUGGGUUGAAAAUACAUAGUACUGGUCGGUUGCUUUCUUCUUGGGAGGAGGGAGCUUCUCAGCAGCGGCAUUUGGAAAUGAAACUGAUACAUGCUAUGCAUAACCAGUUAAUAGGGCUACCCUAUGAGCGAAUGUGAUGAGCAGAAAGUUUUGAAUCGUCUUUUAACGAGUCGUUGUCGCUGGAAGUCUGGAUGAAACUUAUUGGGGGCAACGAACUAGAGUUCUUUGGCUCAAGAUGGUGACUAAAACAGGGUCACGGAGAGCAUCUAAUCUAAGAGUAGAACUUGUAUUGGUGGUUCAUCUGAUAAUGAGGGUACUUGUUUCUGAUGCACCCGUCAAAAUCUCCUAAUCCUGAUCUUACCUCAUAAUAUCAACUCUGCAGAGUGCGUCUGUUCCAUGUAGACUAAUCCCUGACAAUAGUAGUUGCUUAAGAGAUUAAUCAAUUUAUGAAGGGGCAGCGUGAUCGGUUGCAAGGUUUUUUCACGCUAAAGCUUAUGAGCGGGAUAAUCUGGAAGCUAUUUUGAGAGACUCCUGAAAAGAUUUCUGAACUUGCUUUUCAUUUCUGUUUUCUCCAAUAAUCUAAACUUACAAAAACCUACCACCACACCAAGGAUAAUCUGAAUACCAUUGCGUGAAUAAGAAAAACAUGAAGUGUUUGUGAGAGGAAAAAAAAAAAAGAGCGCAAUCGCAGGUUCUAUAAAUUACUUGCUAUCGAAAAAACAGUUCCAUAAAUUACUACACAGGCCUCACUCUUAAAUAUACUCUUGAGUCUUGAGAUAUAAAUAAAAAAAUUAUGAAUAACAUUACAUUUACCUAUUAAAUUAGAAGAACGAUAACAUCUUGCCAAUGGGAACUAGGACAUGAUUAGCCAGCCACCUAUGUACACAGCAUGAGAUAAGCAGACACAAGCAGAUGAGACCAAGUGAAGUAGUCUUGUCACAAUAUGGUCCGAAAGUUCAUAGAUCUUACAUAUCCCCAGCUCCAUCAUCAUCACAAGCAUUUGAUUUAUCUGCAUAUUGGAGCAAA